UACGUAGGGUCCGAGCGUUGUCCGGAAUUACUGGGCGUAAAGAGCUCGUAGGCGGUUUGUCGCGUCGUCCGUGAAAACUCACAGCUCAACUGUGGGCGUGCGGGCGAUACGGGCAGACUGGAGUACUGCAGGGGAGACUGGAAUUCCUGGUGUAGCGGUGGAAUGCGCAGAUAUCAGGAGGAACACCGGUGGCGAAGGCGGGUCUCUGGGCAGUAACUGACGCUGAGGAGCGAAAGCGUGGGGAGCGAACAGG
RNAcentral lists this ribosomal RNA (253 nucleotides) under uncultured bacterium. RNAcentral's name for it is "partial 16S ribosomal RNA". It matches the Rfam family "Bacterial small subunit ribosomal RNA", at positions 524 to 776 of the family's 1533-position model. The record is from RNAcentral.